RNAcentral lists this long non-coding RNA (240 nucleotides) under Homo sapiens (human). Its description in RNAcentral is "HSALNT0178467". Lineage: Eukaryota; Metazoa; Chordata; Mammalia; Primates; Hominidae. The record is from RNAcentral.
GAAGAGUUUUGUUUUGUUUUGUUUUGUUUUAAUCAUUUUGAGUUUUUUUUCCAGACAAGCGCUCACUCUGUCGCCCAGAGUGGAGUGUAGUGGCAUGAACACAACUCUCUGCAGCCCCGACGUCAUGGGCUCAAGUAUCCUCCCAUCUCAGCUUCCCAAGUAGCUGGGACUACAGGCAUACGUCACCACACCUCGCUAGUUUUUUUGGUAUUUUCUGUAGCGACGGCAUCUGGCCAUGUU